CUGAAAUUGAUAACGUGGAUUGGCUCCUAACCCAAAGUAACUUCCGGGUUCGGGACAAGAGUCCAUGACUGGCUACAUGCUGCUGCCUCUAGCCUCCUACAAUCAUUUCUUGGCCUCCCUGUGAUCUGCGGAAAACUCGACUGCGGCGAGCUCUUAAUACGACCUCUGGUUGAGCUACGCCGCCACUACCCCAUAUCAUCGUCUCUAAAUUCAAAACCCACAUGUCUCAUUUGCUGAUACCUCUGCAAUCACUGAGAGCUUAUCUCUUCCCUCCAGUUGCCACAGAAACCCCACACGCGGUGGUUUCUCUAAUCAAUGACCCUCUGUGUAAGAGCUUCAAAAGCUUUAGCUAUAUCUUACCCUUUCACUUUCAAGGUACGUCUUCUCUUUCUCUUCUCUACCUUUCUCCAUAACUGCCCCUCUGUUGCUUCCAAAGACACUGAAUCAUUCUCUGAAACUCAUUUUUAAAGACCUUAUCCUUAAUACCACUCGAGAUAAGCCUGGGGCGUUUUGCAAUCAAAAUUGAGUGUAUGAUCAGUUUAACCCGGUAAUUAUUGACCCAGAGCUGCUUAUUCGUGUACUGAAUGUGAUUCGGGAAAAACCCAGAAUUGCUUUGCGGUUUUUUAGAUGGGUUCAGACCCAACCAGGAUUCAAGAGCUCCGAGUUUGCUUUUUCCGUGAUGCUUGAGAUUUGGUGGACAACAGUUGGAUGAAAUCGGCUUAUAGGCUGAUGGAGAGAGUCAUUAGUAUAGAAAUGCACGGCAUUGUGGAUGUUUUGAUUGGUGGAUACGUGAAACUUGAGGUCUCGAUAUAGUUGUUGAUUUACACGAAGAAAUUGAUGAUUGAGUAGUGUUUACUGCUUUGAUAGGAUGGUGAGAAGUAGAUUGUUGCCAGAUGAGAGAAUUUGUAAUCGGAUGCUCAAGGUACUUAGGGAUAAAAAUCUUUUUGUUAAAGCUAGGGAAGUUCACAGAAUGAUGUGUGAGUUUGGCAUGAAGCCGACUAUUAUUACAUACAAUACGAUGUUAGAUUCCUCCUUUAAGGAAGGAGAAGUGCAGCAAGCAGUAGACCUUUUAUCUCAGAUGCAAAAGGGAGGGUGUUAUCCAAAUGAUGUAACAUAUAAUGUCUUGAUAAAUGGGUUGUCAAAGAAAGGUGAAUUACAGCAGGCUAAGGGAUUGCUUGGAGAGAUGUGGAAAGCGGGAUUGAGAGUUUCAGCAUACACUUAUAACCCUUUGAUUUGUGGCUAUUGCAAAAAAGGGUUCAUCGUGGAGGCAUUAGCUCUUGUGGCAGAAAUGUCAUCUAGAGGAGUAUCUCCUACAGUGACAACUCAUAACAUCAUUAUAUAUGGCCUUUGCAAGGAGGGAAAAAUGAGUGAUGCUAGACAAUGGUUGUCAGAUAUGUUAAAGGAGAAUAUGAUGCCAGAUAUAGUUUCAUACAAUACUUUAAUUUAUGGGUAUUGUAGGUUGGGGAACAUAGAUGAGGCUUAUCUCCUGUUUGAUGAGUUAAGAUCCAAGAAUCUUAGUCCUACUGUUGUCACGUAUAAUACUCUCAUAGAUGGAGUUUGCAGAUUGGGGGACUUGGAGACUGCACGAAAGCUCAAAGUAGAUAUGAUCAAUCGUGAGAUUCUUCCUGAUGUUUUUACUUAUACGAUUCUGGUAAAUGGUUCUUACAUGAUGGGCAAUAUGUUGAUGGCUAAGGAAUUUUUUGAUGAAAUGUUGCAUUUGGGUUUGGCACCAGACCGUGUUGUAUAUACAACUCGAAUUGUGGGUGAAUUGAAGCUUGGUCAUACAGCCAGUGCAUUUAAAUUGCAAGAAGAAAUGCUAGCAAAAGGUUUUCCUCCUGAUGUUAUCACCUAUAAUGUCUUUGUGCGCGGGUUUUGUAAAUUGGGCAAUUUGGAAGAAGCACUUAUAUUGUUUCAAAAGAUGAUCAGCAAUGGUCAUGUUCCUGAUCAUGUAACAUACACUAGCAUGAUACAUGCUUACUUGAAGAAUGGGCAUCUCAGGAAAGGCAGAGAGGUAUUCUAUGAGAUGCUGAGCAAAGGCCAAACACCUACAGUAGUCACAUACACUGUAUUGAUUCAUGCACAUGCGCUAAAUGGGAGGAUAGACCUGGCAUUUAUGUAUUUUUCAGAAAUGCAGGAGAAAGGUGUCAUGCCAAAUGUUAUUACCUAUAAUGCCAUGAUAAAUGGUUUUUGCAAAGUGAGGAGAAUGGAUCAAGCUUACAAGUUUUUCUCAGAGAUGGAAGAAAAAGGAAUUUUUCCUAAUAAGUAUACCUACACUAUAUUAAUAAACGAGAACUGCAAUAUUGGAAAUUGGCAGGAGGCCUUGAGAUUAUAUAAGCAAAUGCUAGAUCAAAAUAUCUGGCCAGGUUUUUGUACACAUGGUGCAUUGUUGAAGCAACUAGAUAAAGACUAUAAAGUGCAAGCAGCUCAGUACAUUGACAGCUUAAUUCAAGGUAGUGAUAGAACUGUUGAUGCAAACACUUGAAUCCACCUUUGUCAGAGGUCUAUGACUGUGUUUCUUGGGUGGUUGGUGAGAAGGCAGCUUUUGCUAAAUGUUUAUACGCCACUCAAUACAUUCACUUAUAUGAUUCGUUAAGUAAGAAUUUCUUCCUUCCAGUUCAUUUUACAUAUGAUGCAUUCAUGCAUAAUUUGUAUUUCUAAUAACCUCGUUAUUGACUUUCCUGUUACAGAUGGAGUAGAGUUGUUGAUACAUCAGUAUAGUGAUUCAAGGGAUAAAUGUCAGUAGCCAUCCCACUAUAAGAGUUGUAACAAAGUCGUCCCUAAACUUAAAAAUGUAAUAUAAAACUCUUUGAACUUUGAAAUUUUACACAGUAAAAUCCUUUUAACUCUCAAUAAUUGAUUUAUAAGUGACAUGUUAAUGUGGACAAUCCAAAGUGGCGAUAACGUGGAUGAUGCCUUCGGUUUUUUUAAAGCAGAAUCUUUCUAAUGAACUGUUAUAUAUCUAGUGUUUUAUUAUCUCAUACGGUUGAGAUUCUUUUUAUGAUUAAUUUAUAAUGAAAAUCAUAGCCGGUUUUGUCACUAUCACAUAAAGGAGAGAGAAUUAUUCGCGUCACUGUUAUUCUGGAUUGCAU
RNAcentral lists this unclassified non-coding RNA (3089 nucleotides) under Hevea brasiliensis (rubber tree). Lineage: Eukaryota; Viridiplantae; Streptophyta; Magnoliopsida; Malpighiales; Euphorbiaceae. The record is from RNAcentral.